UUUGAUCCUGGCUCAGGAUGAAUGCUGGCGGCGUGCCUAAUACAUGCAAGUCGAGCGGUAAGGCCCUUCGGGGUACACGAGCGGCGGACGGCUGAGUAACGCGUGGGAACAUGCCCCAAAGUGAGGGAUAACGCACCGAAAGGUGUGCUAAUACCGCAUAUGGUCUUCGGAUUAAAGGAUUUAUCCGCUUUGGGAGUGGCCCGCGUACGAUUAGAUUGUUGGUGAGGUAACGGCUCAAACCAAGUCGACGAUCGUUAACUGGUCUGAGAGGAUGAUCAGUCAGACUGGAACUGAGACACGGUCCAGACUCCUACGGGAGGCAGCAGUAAGGAAUCUUCCACAAUGGGCGAAAGCCUGAUGGAGCAACGCCGCGUGCAGGAUGAAGGCCCUCGGGUCGUAAACUGCUUUUAUGAGUGAAGAAUAUGACGGUAACUCAUGAAUAAGCACCGGCUAACUACGUG
Molecule: ribosomal RNA, 461 nt
Filed under: uncultured bacterium
Lineage: Bacteria
Description: bacterial SSU rRNA
Rfam family: Bacterial small subunit ribosomal RNA
Source: RNAcentral